AGUCAACUUUGGAGGGGUAUAUCUCUAUGCAUAUUUGGAGUUUUAAGGCGUUUCAAAAGCCUAAAAUGAAGUUCGUCAAGUCUAGUUUAUGAUUCAACAAACCACUCAUCGAUAGGACGUCGGAGUAGAGAAUUAUAGACGCUACAAACUGAACUGUCGCGCAGAAACAGCACUGCUACAGUACGCUACAGCACUGCUACAGUACUGUAGCUACAGUGACGCCGUUUCAGCCCUUAUAAAAAGGGGCAAAACCCCAUUUUUAUCAUCUAAAAACUUCUCAAAUUUUCCAGAAAAUUCAGCAACAAAAAGGGGCCUAAAUCUCACAUAAAAGUGAGGAUUGUGAGUGAAAUUUCAAGCUACGAAGUACUAAUCGAAGUCCGGGCAACGCAUAAUCACGAAUAUAAUUUUGUUUGGAGUUAGAGGAGCAUGGGAACAAUAAGAUGUUGAAGGAUUUGCUACUUUCAUAAAAACAAGGUUUUGGACGAAACGGGAUUUGAGUUUUGGCAAGCGUAAAGGGCAAGAAAGGUACAGACUACAGAUUUGCUGACCCACCUGCCUAGGACACCUAUUCUGCUAUUCUGGAGCGCUCUUUUGUCCAGAGCCUAUACUCUGGUACAGUCUGCUGCUGUUGGAUAUAUGUGCGCUAUUCAUGGGUACGACGGGGCCCUGUCCUGUCUUAUGUUUCUGUUAUGUUCUGUAGAGGUCUGUAGACAUACAUGUGGGUUCUGUAUAUGUUUUGGGUUGCUAUGAUUUGUGAUAGCCUUAUCGGCUUCCAUGUGUUAUAUAUGUUCCUCUAUGACACUAGUAAUGUCGACUGACUUUUAUAUUUAUAUAAUCUGCUAGUCUGCUGGUUUGGAUUA
This is a long non-coding RNA of Lycium barbarum (goji berry), 860 nucleotides long. RefSeq lists it as uncharacterized. Lineage: Eukaryota; Viridiplantae; Streptophyta; Magnoliopsida; Solanales; Solanaceae. The record is from RefSeq and is a predicted model, not a curated record. The transcript has 3 exons.